Long non-coding RNA from Triticum dicoccoides, 415 nucleotides. RefSeq lists it as uncharacterized. The record is from RefSeq and is a predicted model, not a curated record. The transcript is spliced from 3 exons. Lineage: Eukaryota; Viridiplantae; Streptophyta; Magnoliopsida; Poales; Poaceae.
GGCUACCUGUUGCUUUGGAUCCGGGAGUGAGUCAAGUGACAUACAUACACAAGAAAUAUUUAGUUAUGAGGAUUGAAGAAAUUAAUGAUCAUUCAGUCAUUGAGGAUUUGAGAAGAGACAUCAAUGUUCCAGUAGAGGUGUUAUUGAAGUUGUGGCUGUCAAUAGUCCUUUUAUUGAUGCUAAGUAUAUGGGCACCAUAACUCUAAUCCGACAUGAGCAGUCCAACCACGACAGUGAGCAGUGGAACCGCAAGAUAGAGAUAGAUACAAGUAGAAUAUAACUGGUCAUAUUUCUAAAAUGAUCACACUACUUAUGGUGCCGGAAGAGAAGGCAUCAGUGAUAGUGGGCUAGGUGAUGAGGGCAUCAAUACAAAGAGAUUAAUUCACAACUUUGUUCUUAAUAGGUUGUACAAAUA